GGAUGUGAGGGGGAUCCGGCUGCAACAUCUGCCACCCCAUUGAUCACCAGGGUUGAUUUGGCUGAUCUCACUAUUUGGCUCCCUCACUGCUCCAUGUGGGUCCCUCCCAAAGCCGCGUGCUAGGUCAAAGAGGAGGACCAUCCCCAAUAGAGGAGGACUGUUUCCUUAGUCAAGGGUAUACAAGUAGCUGUGAUCCCCUGCUAGAACCUCCAAACAAGCUCUCAAAGUUAGGAACAGCCAGUCUUCCACAUCCACAGAUUUUACAUCCAUAGAU
This is a non-coding RNA of Heterocephalus glaber (naked mole-rat), 274 nucleotides long. Lineage: Eukaryota; Metazoa; Chordata; Mammalia; Rodentia; Bathyergidae. The record is from Rfam.